GAGAAGUAGAAUCCGGUCAUCCGCCGGUUUCGCGCUAAACCAGCCCAACUCAAAACCAAACCGCCGCAAAAUUUUCUCCGAUCCCAUUUGAGAGUCAUCGCCACCGCCGCCGCCGCCGCCGCCGCGAGAGGGGUCCGAUCGCCGGUUCAUGGCUGGUGCAGCGGAGGAAAUGGGGGAGGAGCCGGCGCCGGGAGCGUUGAACGCAUCGAGUGUCUGUUCCUGGUGGGGGGGUGGACAUCAGCACAGCCUCUCAAGUUGGAAGUGACAAUGUGAUGCCACAAUCACGAACACAAGACACAUUGAUAAGCAUGCUGGUCUGAACAAAGGCAUUUGUAUGAUCCAAAAGUGAUCAUUUAAGUCAUUUUUUGCAAGGUAUAUUGUCCAUUGCCUAUCAAGGUGGAUCUGUGUAUGUUUUUAGCAAAUAGUUCAUUCCAUACCAGUUUAGAUUAUCUGCUGUUUUGUGAGCAGACCCCUAUCAUGUUUGGUGCAUUGAAAUUUUGAUCUUGUAACUGUUUCAGCAGUAGGUCAUUCUAGCCAUAUUGGCGCACUUUUUCUAGGGAA
Molecule: long non-coding RNA, 561 nt
Organism: Triticum aestivum (bread wheat)
Lineage: Eukaryota; Viridiplantae; Streptophyta; Magnoliopsida; Poales; Poaceae
Exons: 2
Source: RefSeq, a predicted model, not a curated record